RNAcentral lists this ribosomal RNA (438 nucleotides) under uncultured bacterium. RNAcentral describes it as "partial 16S ribosomal RNA". It matches the Rfam family "Bacterial small subunit ribosomal RNA", at positions 338 to 795 of the family's 1533-position model. The record is from RNAcentral.
CCUACGGGUGGCAGCAGUAGAGAAUUUUGCGCAAUGGGCGAAAUCCUGACGCAGCAACGCCGCGUGAUCGAGACGCCCUUCGGGGUGUAAAGAUCUGUCAGUGGGGACGAAACUUGACGGUACCCACAGAGGAAGCACCGGCUCACUCCGUGCCAGCAGCCGCGGUACUACGGGGGGUGCAAGCGUUGUCCGGAAUCAUUGGGCGUAAAGGGAGCGUAGACGGCAGCACAAGUCUGGAGGGAAAUGCCGGGGCUUAACCCCGGAACUGCUUUGGAAACUGUGCAGCUAGAGUUCAGGAGAGGUAAGUGGAAUGCCGAGUGUAGCGGUGAAAUGCGGAGAUAUUAGGAGGAACACCAGGGGCGAAGGCGGCUUACUGGACUGUAACUGACGUUGAGGCUCGAAAGCGGGGGGAGCAAACAGGAUUAGAUACGAGUAGUC